RNAcentral lists this long non-coding RNA (2969 nucleotides) under Nicotiana tabacum (common tobacco). RNAcentral's name for it is "long non-coding RNA (NTAB_LNC001051)". The record is from RNAcentral. Lineage: Eukaryota; Viridiplantae; Streptophyta; Magnoliopsida; Solanales; Solanaceae.
UAGAAGUUGAUGUGAGCAUGUGAUUUUUCCCUAUACGAAAUACUCCUAUAAAAUCCUAAGAAAAUAGAUUUUUUCUUAAUUAUUUGGCAUUUUUUAGGAAUUUUUGUAGAAUUCUAUUAAUUGUUUGCAUUUCUGUGCACGUAUAAUUUUAUUAAGAUCAUGAAAAACUGUCAUGCAUUGUAUUUAGGUUUGUUUUUACAUUUUAGGAUUAAUUAAUUAAUUAUUUUCUUUAUUAAAACUGAAAAUUACAAAAACAACCAUUAGAUCUUGGCAAUCUAACGGCUCGGAACUGAUGAGGUUUGUAAUAUAUAACUGUCCGAAGCUAUCCCCCCCCACUUUGGAACCCCCAUUUCACUCUCAUAUCUCUAAACAAAUCAAAUCCUAGCCGCCUAGGAUUCCCUCGCAGGCUCCGCCGCUGACCACUCGCCGGAAAUCGCCCACAGCGGUGCUGGUACUCCAAACACCACCAUUUUUACACCAUAAAACCCUAAUCCCUUCCUCAUUCUGAAUCCCCAACUGGCUCUCCUUGAAUCCCUGCCGAAUUUGCUCGAAUUUUAGAUCGAAAUCAUGCCUAAAAACCCUAAUUUUUCCAAACCGGCCCAAAUUCACACCCUAUAAUCCCUGCACCCCUUCGAACCCGAAACCACCAUUAUCCCCUUUCGAAUCAUCCCUAGCCGAGUUGAAUUUUGAAUAAAAAAUUCCAAGGAAAACCCUAAUCUCUUUUCUCGGUCAAUAUUCAGAGCCUGUGAACCCAAACAUCCUUUAGCUGGUUGUUCUCGUUAAGAACAACCAGUCAAUGGCUGUAUAAGUUCAUUGGCCGUCUCAUGCAAGAAGUUUCAUUAACUGGCCCAGUCCAAAAUAGCUUUAGGUACUCCUUUCUCAUUUUUAUUUUUGUUUUUGUUCUCUUUCUUUCUUUUCUUCUUUCAAUGCUAGCUUCUAUUUUCUUCCCCUUGUUUUUAGCAUAUAUAGAUAAGUGACAGGUUUCCCUGAUUGGUUGCCAACUUGUCCUUAAAAGCAUACUGAAUCUCACAAUUAGCUAAGUUUCAAUUACAUGGUUUUAGUUUAAUUAGGGUUCGUUUGAUGCUUACUCUGUUUUUUCUCCAUGAUUUCAUUAUACAGUCAGUUUUAUUUGAGUAAAUUAACAAGCUAUUUAGGUUGUUUGUUGCUUUAAUUGCUUAAGUUUAAAAAUUGAUAUAGGUUGAAUUUUAGGUUUUCUUUGCAUCUUUAAUUUGUUGUGAUUACUGUUAAGUGUAUUAGUUGUUAGACUUAAUUCUUGUUUAGGUUUAAUUAGCUAAGUAUUUUUGUUUAUUGGUUAAUUUAGUUUUAGGUUCAUAAUUGCAGUCACAUGAUUCUCUUAGGCCUUUUUGAUUUGAAUUUCUGAUCUUUUCUAGGUUUGUCUUUGUUUGCCCGAUUUGAAAAUCAAUAGGAACUUUAGGGGCUUAACUGAACCAAAAAGUUUAGGUAAAGAUGAAAUAAGCAGAAUUUAGAGGGGCAAAUUGGGGUUUUACAUUGAGGGAAUAUCAGAAUGUUCUAAGAAUAUCACAGUUGUCCUUAUCCUAAGCAUAAAAUGUUGGAAUUUGAUAAAAAAAGGACGGACAACUGUAUAAAAAUGUUGUACUAUUCUACAGUAUAAGGAAUUAGGUUAGAAUAUUUCUUUCUUGGGAUAUUUUUUGUGCACUCUAUAAAAGAGAAACUUUCCCUCAGUCUCACACACUUUUCAGCAUCAUUUUACUGCAAAAACUCUCUCUCCCUUCCUUUCUGAAAAACCAGACUUCAGAAAUUUUAGGAAAAACUUCAAAAAAAAAAACUUCUUGCUUUUGGUUUUCACAAGCUAGAAAUAAUGGUUUGAAUUCAUAGGAUCUUUCUUGAGUGUCUUGGUUGGGAUUUCUGGGUUCAAGUUGUGAGUUUUUACUAUUUCUUUAGCUAGGAUAUUUGUUGGUUGAAACUCUGGGUUUUUCUUGCUGAUUUCUGGUUGAAAACGUCCAAUUAGCUUUUGUUUGAUUGCUGUUGAUCUAAGCUCUGAAAUCAGCCUUGGUUUUCUGACCUUUAUUUGGUCAUUCCUCAACUAUAUUUUUCAGUUUCCAGGUAUGUAACAAUGUUCAUCCUAAAUGGAAUUAAUUUUGAGCUCAAAAAUCUAUGUUUGGAACUUAUUUUGGUUGACUGAACAUUUGAUGUUAGUUUUUGGGAAUCAUGACUGGGUUUAAUUUAGAGUAGAUUGAACCAUUUGUUAAUGUUAGUUUAACUGGCUGUUGAAUUUAAUCAUGAAAUCUCUGAUGUUAUGCUGCACAUGUGUUAAAACUUAACAAGGUUGAUUGCUGAAUCAAUGUAUAUACCUAUGAAAACUAUGUUCAAAUGGCUCUUUUAUGGUAGCACAAAAGGAAAAAAUGAAUCUGACCCUUUAAAUGGUCAGAUUCAUUCCUUAACAGUGCAUAAUAGUCUUGACUCCUUUAGUAUAUGUCUAAGUUAUUUUCCUUUCCCCUUUUUCUUCAUUACUAAGAUGAGAACUAUGGAGUAAAUCAUGGUUUGGAAAUCUUUGCUUGUCUGUAGGGCUGACCUUAAAACAUGGUUAGACUUAUGGACAACAUUGUUUUCCUUUACUCAUUUUUGUAUUAGGAUUAACUUGGUAACAUUGUAGGUUCCAACAUUUGAAGAUACUUUGCGAAUCUGACCCUUUCAUAUGGUUAGACCCAUGAGGAUCUUGGUUUGUUUAAAGCUGGAGCAGUAGCAGUUUAGGAAACUUCCUCUUUUCAUUUUGUUGUAAUUUAGUUUGAGGUAUUGAUGUAAUUUAUAUUUUGUACCCCUAUUUAAUUCCGGAAUUUGUAAUAAAUUGGAUUGGACUUUAUAAACUUAUAGACUAGUUAAUGCAGCUCCGGUAGUUUAUUUAGCCAAAUUCUAAAUGUAUAUUAGUAUGCUAUGUUUAAAAAAGGCAACAUUUGGCUACUGAGUUUUGUUUAGUUGUUUAAUUCCUG